UACGUAGGGGGCUAGCGUUGUCCGGAAUCAUUGGGCGUAAAGCGCGUGUAGGCGGUUCGGUAAGUCCGCUGUGAAAGUCGGGGGCUCAACCCUCGGAUGCCGGUGGAUACUGUCGGGCUAGAGUACGGAAGAGGCGAGUGGAAUUCCACGUGUAGCAGUGAAAUGCGUAGAGAUGUGGAGGAACACCGAUGGCGAAGGCAGCCCCCUGGGCCGAUACUGACGCUCAGGCACGAAAGCGUGGGGAGCAAACAGG
This 253-nucleotide ribosomal RNA is filed under the name uncultured bacterium. RNAcentral's name for it is "partial 16S ribosomal RNA". It matches the Rfam family "Bacterial small subunit ribosomal RNA", at positions 524 to 776 of the family's 1533-position model. The record is from RNAcentral.